Molecule: non-coding RNA, 109 nt
Organism: Acanthosepion pharaonis
Lineage: Eukaryota; Metazoa; Mollusca; Cephalopoda; Sepiida; Sepiidae
Source: the annotation of a GenBank genome assembly
UUACGGCCAUAUCAAAUUGGAAUACCGGUUCACGUCCGAUCACCGAAGUUAAUCAAGGCCAAACCUGAUCAGUAUCUAGAUGCGUGACCUCUUGGCAAGACGAGGUGCU